RNAcentral lists this transfer-messenger RNA (342 nucleotides) under Skeletonema costatum. RNAcentral describes it as "ssra". It matches the Rfam family "transfer-messenger RNA". From Rfam's summary of the family: Bacterial tmRNA, also known as 10Sa RNA or SsrA, is named for its dual tRNA and mRNA-like properties. Its role is to liberate the mRNA from a stalled ribosome. The record is from RNAcentral. Lineage: Eukaryota; Bacillariophyta; Thalassiosirophyceae; Thalassiosirales; Thalassiosiraceae.
GGGGCUGAUUUGGUUUCGACAUUUAAAAGUUAUUUAUAUAAGUCAGGUCAAAGUUUGUACUCUUUGUAAAAAAGACUAAAUUAUUAUAAUAAAUGCUAACAACAUAAUGUCUUUUAUUUUUAAAACAGUAACUCCAAAAAAUCAUUUAAAUGUUUUAAGUUUUGCUGUUUAAUAUUUAAUCUAGUUUAUUAAAUAUUUUUUCAUUAUAGCUAGACUUUUUUCUAGCAUAUAGUUUAGAAUAAAUUUAAAUUUUAAAAACUGUUCAAAUCAUUUGGACUAAACCUGUAAAUACGUGUAUAAAUAAACUUUAGAUGGACAUGGGUUCAAUUCCCAUCAGUUCCA